RNAcentral lists this ribosomal RNA (568 nucleotides) under Salmonella enterica subsp. enterica serovar Schwarzengrund. RNAcentral describes it as "partial 23S ribosomal RNA". It matches the Rfam family "Bacterial large subunit ribosomal RNA", at positions 711 to 1276 of the family's 2925-position model. Lineage: Bacteria; Pseudomonadati; Pseudomonadota; Gammaproteobacteria; Enterobacterales; Enterobacteriaceae. The record is from RNAcentral.
AGACCCGAAACCCGGUGAUCUAGCCAUGGGCAGGUUGAAGGUUGGGUAACACUAACUGGAGGACCGAACCGACUAAUGUUGAAAAAUUAGCGGAUGACCUGUGGCUGGGGGUGAAAGGCCAAUCAAACCGGGAGAUAGCUGGUUCUCCCCGAAAGCUAUUUAGGUAGCGCCUCGUGAAUUCAUCUCCGGGGGUAGAGCACUGUUUCGGCUAGGGGGCCAUCCCGGCUUACCAACCCGAUGCAAACUGCGAAUACCGGAGAAUGUUAUCACGGGAGACACACGGCGGGUGCUAACGUCCGUCGUGAAGAGGGAAACAACCCAGACCGCCAGCUAAGGUCCCAAAGUCAUGGUUAAGUGGGAAACGAUGUGGGAAGGCCCAGACAGCCAGGAUGUUGGCUUAGAAGCAGCCAUCAUUUAAAGAAAGCGUAAUAGCUCACUGGUCGAGUCGGCCUGCGCGGAAGAUGUAACGGGGCUAAACCAUGCACCGAAGCUGCGGCAGCGACACUAUGUGUUGUUGGGUAGGGGAGCGUUCUGUAAGCCUGUGAAGGUGGCCUGUGAGGGUUGCUGG